GCUCAGCUCUGUGCUGCUGGGGCUGAGGCACAUGGUGCUUGUGUUUGGCCACAGGAGUCCUGAAGGGUGCCGGAAUAUGCUGGCUCCACUCCCCAGCCAACGUGCUUGUUACCAAUUAGCCUAGCCCAUCAUGCUACCAUCCCUUAUGUAACCAGUCAGCCUUGGGAACAUUUGAAGGAUUCAAGAUGGAACGGAUAAAGAGGCGACCGAUUACAUGCAUCCGGGCCUACGUUGGGGCUUACAGGGCACAGCCAUGAGAUCAGGUCUCUGGACGUCUCUCCAAGCAAGCAAAGAGGAGAAGAUAUUUAGUGUGAGGUCUCUCUUUGGCCUGGAACACCAACAAAUAGACCAGCCAGCUUGCCAGCCAGCACCUGGCAUCUGUCUUCCUCUGACUCCCAUCUUGCUAAAGAUGAAGUUGCCAGUCCAUGCCACAACGCUGCAUUCAUUCACUGUGUGUAGCAUCUGGGGUAAGAAGGACAGCAGCUGGCCUUGGAGGAGGCAUAGAGGACCAGUAGAUCCUUCAGUCAGGCAAGGACCGGACUGGCUGGAUUCAUCACGGAUGCUGGCACAGGAGAUCCCAGUUGUCUACGUCUCGAUACCCCAGUGGGAGGCGGAGUCUACUCCUGCCAGUCUCUGAAGUUGAGGCACCGGUGCUGGCUCCACAUCUGAGCAUACUGGGAUCUCCCACCUGUGACCCAGAUCACUUCCUGGCCACGCCUUCAUUCCCAAGGUGUCCUAGAGUCCCUCCAUAGUGAUUUUCAGGCAUAACAGGACAGGGUCCCCAAGAUGUACAUCUCAGCCAGGACCCCCAAAGCAGCCAGAAAAAGAGAUUGCGAGAAGCACACAACCCCUCCCCAAGAUCCAGAUACAGUUCCAGGAGCUGGGGACACGGUCAGCAGAGUGCUUGCUCCGUGCACGAACUGUUGGGUCUCAUCCCCAGUGCUGAGUAAACUGCAUGGUGAUACACAUCUAUAAUCUCAGCGCUUGGGAGAUAAAGGCAGAAGAAUCGGAAAUUCAAGGUCAUUCUCAACUAUAUUGUAAGUCAGAGCUAACCUGGGCUACACGAGAUUCUGUCUCAGAGAAGAAGAGAAAAGGCACCUGGGCCAGAGAUGACCACCUGAGAGCCCAGGCUGGGACUGGGAGGACAGAGGACUUUUACCUGCAGGGCCCUGGAGCUCAUGCUAGCGAACGUCCUAACCCCACCCCCAACCCCGGUGAGAUGUGUUGGUUGUAGUCAGAGGGUUUGACCUGAUGUGGGGCAUGAGGGAGACAUUUUAGUUAAUGGUCUCCAGUCAUGUAUGUACGGAAAGCUGUCAAUACCAUGGUAGCCACACAGCCUUGUUGCUGUAGCUUCUUGUAGUCCAAAAUGUCCUGAGAGAGAGAGGACCCUACCACACCAAUUGGAUGGCCAGUAAGAUAUCUGUAAUCUCUGAAGCCCACCUUCCUGAUCUCAUAUGGCCCCUUCCUCUCAUGUCCGCAGCACACACACACACACACACACACACAGCCAUGUCAGUACAUAUGAGCAUCCCUCCUCAAAAAAUCAGUAAUUGCCAGGCAGUGGUGGCGCAUGCCUUUAAUCCCAGUACUUGGGAGGCAGAAGCAGGCAGAUUUCUG
Molecule: non-coding RNA, 1617 nt
Organism: Mus caroli (Ryukyu mouse)
Lineage: Eukaryota; Metazoa; Chordata; Mammalia; Rodentia; Muridae
Source: RefSeq, a predicted model, not a curated record